Long non-coding RNA from Drosophila biarmipes, 616 nucleotides. RefSeq lists it as uncharacterized. NCBI's taxonomy places the organism in Eukaryota, Metazoa, Arthropoda, Insecta, Diptera, Drosophilidae. The transcript has 2 exons. The record is from RefSeq and is a predicted model, not a curated record.
CUGUUUUGUUUUUUUUUUCGGCAUAAAACUGUACGCUGCUGUCGACGUCAGCCGAGAAUUCGGAGCAGCGUAGAAGACUUCCGACGAAAGCAUUUUGGCAAAAAAGAGAGGCAGAUCUUCAGAUAUUACCCUCUCUUUCUGUGUCUUAUAAUCUGACAGCCAUCGGCUCUCAGAGAGCAACAUUCGGCCGGUGAUAUCUUUUGCGUCUCUCCGUUAUGUUUAGAAAAAAAACCAAAAGAAGAAGAAGACCUGGUGCAUUCUGUUUGAGUUAUGAAAAGUGAAGCAGCGGCUGUUUAAAUUGUGCGCUGAGACACAUUCAAAUUUAUUAUAAGUGAUAUUUAAAAAAAAAAAAUCAAGUCAGGAAAGUGCUUCCUUAAGUUGAAGAUGUGCGUUGAUCCUUUAUAGGUUUUAUAACAUGACCCAAAAAAUUCCGGUUCCGUUACCCAAAAGUGGCGUGAUGAAAGCAGUUUGAAAAGGAGCGUUGGACCGGGAUUCGAAGGACUCGAAAAGAAAAGCAAUUUUAAAUUUUAAAAGCAAAUUAUCCAAAAAAAAAAAAUAGACUUCUCAAUAAUAAUUGUACUUCUACAGAAAAUGUAAAUGAUAUAAAUGAAGUUAA